Pseudophryne corroboree (corroboree frog) is the source of this 702-nucleotide long non-coding RNA. RefSeq lists it as uncharacterized. NCBI's taxonomy places the organism in Eukaryota, Metazoa, Chordata, Amphibia, Anura, Myobatrachidae. The transcript has 7 exons. The record is from RefSeq and is a predicted model, not a curated record.
GACCAUGCAGCAGCUAGGAGUGUCACUUUCUGUGGAGAGGCACAAUUGCAGUGGUUUGCCUUGUUCAAAUUUGAUACCUGGACGAUAUCCAGUGAUUAGCUGCUUCAAUUGGCUUUAUUUAAUUGAAUCGGCACUGUUGCGGUGAUUUGCCCUGUUCAAAUAAACACUGGGAUGACACUCAGUGAUCAGUCACUUUAUGGGCUUGAUGUAAUCUAAUUGGUACUAUUACAGUGGUCCACUUUGUCUAAAUUGACAUCUGGAAGAUAUCCAGUGAUUUGCCAUCUUAUGGGCUUAAUUGAAUUAAAUUGAUUCAGAAUUACUCUAAAAUUUCAAAAAGGUUAUACCCAGUGGAUAAUCAGUGAAAAAGGUUACUUCCAAUUCAAUUUAAAUUGAUACCCCAUAUGGUGAAAUUUGGUCCGAUACUAUUUUAAGCAUUGUUAAAUUGCCUUUUUGAAGACACGAUAAGAUGUAUGUCCAUAUUGUGAUUCUUUGAUUAAUACACCCCUGAUGAAGUCUGUAGGAUGAAACGCGUUGGGUUAGCACAUUGUUCUCUGACAUCUCUACAAAGAAGAUCAUUUUGAUGUUGUUUGAAUUACCAACACAACUAUCGUCUGUACAAACAUUGUUUAUUGUUAUUCUGGGCAAAUUGUAAACAGUUUUAUGUAUUGCUUUUAAAAAAAAUAAACAAUCUCUCUUUUUUAA